Molecule: non-coding RNA, 30 nt
Filed under: Mus musculus (house mouse)
Lineage: Eukaryota; Metazoa; Chordata; Mammalia; Rodentia; Muridae
Source: RNAcentral
UUGGAGAACCAAUAGGAAGCCAUUCUUAGC